GCCCUCGUAGCUCAGAGGACAGAGCAGGGGUUUCCUAAACCCUUGGUCGCAGGUUCGAGUCCUGCCGAGGGCG
RNAcentral lists this transfer RNA (73 nucleotides) under Anaerolinea sp. Its description in RNAcentral is "tRNA-Arg". It matches the Rfam family "tRNA". From Rfam's summary of the family: Transfer RNA (tRNA) molecules are approximately 80 nucleotides in length. RNAcentral also lists the same sequence under 1 other name. Lineage: Bacteria; Bacillati; Chloroflexota; Anaerolineae; Anaerolineales; Anaerolineaceae. The record is from RNAcentral.